Molecule: ribosomal RNA, 417 nt
Filed under: uncultured bacterium
Lineage: Bacteria
Description: bacterial SSU rRNA
Rfam family: Bacterial small subunit ribosomal RNA
Source: RNAcentral
UGGACAAUGGGCGCAAGCCUGAUCCAGCCAUGCCGCGUGAGUGAAGAAGGCCUUCGGGUUGUAAAGCUCUUUCGGCCGGGAAGAAAUCGUGUUCUCUGACAUAGGACAUGGCUGACGGUACCGGACUAAGAAGCACCGGCUAACUACGUGCCAGCAGCCGCGGUAAUACGUAGGGUGCGAGCGUUAAUCGGAAUUACUGGGCGUAAAGCGUGCGCAGGCGGUUUUGUAAGACAGAUGUGAAAUCCCCGGGCUUAAGCUGGGAACUGCGUUUGUGACUGCGAGGCUGGAGUACGGCAGAGGGGGGUGGAAUUCCACGUGUAGCAGUGAAAUGCGUAGAGAUGUGGAGGAACACCGAUGGCGAAGUCAGCCCCCUGGGCCUGUACUGACGCUCAUGCACGAAAGCGUGGGGAGCAAACA